Long non-coding RNA from Athalia rosae (coleseed sawfly), 2791 nucleotides. RefSeq lists it as uncharacterized. NCBI's taxonomy places the organism in Eukaryota, Metazoa, Arthropoda, Insecta, Hymenoptera, Athaliidae. The transcript is spliced from 2 exons. The record is from RefSeq and is a predicted model, not a curated record.
GAUAUCGCGGAGAUGGCCUAUUCCGCGGAAAUGAGGAGAGUGGUAGAAGAAAAAGAGAGAGAGAACGAAGCGGCGGCCGCGGAUGGAACAAAUUUGAUGUACCGGGAGGACGAACGUUGAAGUUAAACCGGAGACUACUACUCGCUCGCUCGCUCGCCCCUAGCUCUUAGACAGCCGAGUUGUAUAACCUUUUCGCGACAAGAUUGAAGUUUAACGACGAUCCGAAUCGCCCACGAGUGGUGCCAACGUCGUAGAAUAGGAUUUUCACGCGGUGACAAGAAUCCCUGAACCCGAGGUGGUCCCUCCCUACCUCCGGAAAAACCUUUUCCUUUGCCCACCUCGUUCGAGCAUCGGGGACGCUACCGAGAGAUCGCGAAAAGGAUACAACUCAUCCCCGUGUAAGAGAGGAGUCCGCGUGCACGUUGUCCUCUUCAUGCGGAAUCGACGAGAUGCUCGUUAAAAUUUUUUUUCGAAGAAUACGAAUUUCAAUCCGUCGCGCGCACUCUUCUUCCAGCCGAGCAAGGGCAUAUUUAUGUGUAACAAUAUUACGUCCCGUUUUCGCAUUUUAUCAUACAGCGCCAUGAAUUGUUUGUUUUUCUUUUUUCCAUAACAUACGAAUGGAGGAAGAAUUGCGAAAACGCGAUGUUUUAAAAAUUGCGGCAACUGUAUUUGAACUGAAAGAAUCUGGGGGGAAAAAAAGUAAAAAGAAAAAUGGAAAUCGCUGAUUGCAGGAGGGAACGAAUUUCGAAUGAAUGAGAAAAAAAAUAAUAUCAUCUCCAUAAACCCCGGGCGCGGGCGGAGGUUAUACGGAGUGAAUCAUAUUCAAAUUUGUCUCGGUCGAGCGAAGGUGGAUUUAUUUAUUCCAUCAAAUCGAGUCGAGUCUUUCGUAGACUAAUUUUAGAAAAAAUUUUUCCCUCAAUCCGUGAUUUUUUUACACCGCGAUGGGAUACGCGGGACGAAUUCUCUCGUGCGAUUCGAGCUGGCCGCGACGAUGGGUGCGUUCGCAAAAAGGACUCGCUGUACACCGCAUUUGAAUAGAAAAUAAGAAAAAAAAAAAAACACGGAAGAACCGCCACCGAUCACUGCAGGGGAUAGCUACCGCGAUAUCGAUAUCUGAAAACCGUCAACUGUUUCAACGUAAUCGCAGCGACCUACAGAUUACUGCACCUGCACUACCUGGCGGUGUGGUAACACCAUCUGGUGCCGGUGCAACGGGUGUACAAUGUACGGAGAAAAGUGGUGGUUCGCGAUAAAAACAAACGAUCCUCCGCAGAAUCCGGGGGCCAUCAACGUCGCACCGCAUUCAAACUCGUAUAGGGUACUACCCUGUACGCGGUGUAACAAACCGCAGCUUUUUUCGACCGCCGCAAUAGCUGUUGUAAAACCCAAAAAUGUCAUCCGAUAUAUCGUUUUUAUACGUUCGACGCGUUUUUGUUGCGACAGAAAGAAGAAAAAAUAAAAAAAAAAAGAAUAAUAAUCGACCGACAGCGAACGCGCAUCGAAAUCCGCAACGUUUCAAACUGUUCCGCGAAUAAGCUGCGGUGAAUACCCGUGCAAACAACGAAAGAGGAAAGUACAUUUUUCCAAUCGAAAUAAAAAGAAAAAAAAAAAAAAAAAAAAAAAACAGCGAACAAAUAAAAGAAAUUCAUACGUUGCUCGCUGUCCAGGGCGUAGAGGCAUCUGCUCGUUAUACAGCAGUGUGCGUACAAACGUUACAUUAUAAUAGAUGAUCAGCUACAAGGCAAACCGUGCAAAUGACGCCGACCUCCGGGCUUUGAUUGCUAUGCGAGUCGCGACCUCGCGAGUAAAAUCAAAGGCGAGCGUACGCGGGGGGUGCAUGAAAACAUACGUGAUACGUAUGUGGUAUACAUAGCUACGCUACACACGCUACGCGGACGAACGGUUUUCCGGCUUUAGAACUCGCAAGCUUUUAGAAUGUGUGGUACACGUAUUGUGACAGGACCGAAGCUACAGACGCAGCUAUUGCAGGAAUUGCAAUUGAAAUUGCAACGACGAACUAUCUACUAUCUGGACCCGGCCAUCGCGUUAUACCUCCCAACUACUUCGAUACUCUAUGAUGAAAGAGAGGAAAAAAAAAAGAAGAGGGAGAAAAAAAAUCGAAUACGGUCCGAAGAAUUUUCUCGUUACAUCAUUCUCGACGGACGUUUCCUGAUCGGCCAUUCCCGGACUACGUACUCGGUAAUCGGAAUUAUACCGUUCGAUGUUGGAUUACUCGCUGCAGGCAGGGGAGAUAGAAACUGGCGCAUCGAUCUUCGAUGUGAUUUUCAAAUUCCGAAGAGAAAUAAGUUGACGAAAAGAAUUGGAAGAGAGGAGAUCGGGGCGGUUGCGCAACGUGACGUAAGGACAAAAAAAAAAUACAUACAUACAUCUCUUUUAUCGCAGAUUUACACACGUACCACGUCGAGUUCGCUUGUGCAGGGUUACUCUCAACGGAUUCGAAAAUAAAUAAAUAAAUAAACAGUUGCAUUUUUACGCAAGAUAGGAAAAAAGUAAGAAAGAGAGAAAAAAUAAGGCGAGAUGUUGGACUCUUAUCCCCGGACCGCAUCAUCAUCUCGCACAGCGUCAGGUGAAUUUUUGAUACGGAAAAGAAAAAGACGGAGGGUUUUAACGAGGGUCUAAAUAGACGGCUUACGUCCUCGUCGUAACAGCUGUUAAACACAAGAGUAUAUAAUCGUAGAAGCUAUAGCUGAAAGCUUGAUAUCAACUAAACGGUUAAUCCGACUUUCCAGAGCACAGUCGUGUCAUUAUGUAGGAAGGGAGUGUACAGUGG